CUAACACCUAGAGGGGGUGAAUAGGUAUAAUAGCCAAAAACCACAAAUCUCAAUGUGAUAAAAAUAAAUGCGAAAAAAUAAAAUUCACACCGAGAUUUAUGUGGGAAAACUCCAACUUGGAGAAAAACCCACGGGACCAACACGCGAAAAAAUAAUUCACUAAGAGAAAAGAUUACAGGGUGAUUACCGACUCCACGGACUCGACCUCUCUUAACCUCUUAAGAAUCCCGCGCAAUUCUUCGGGUUGUCCACGCCCUCACGUUCGAAUCCACGAAUACCUCGUUCCGAAUCCACGAAACGCCUCCACUCCGAAUCCACGAAGCUCACGAUCCGAAUCCACGAACCGCCGUCAAUCACAUCGACUCUACGGUGCCGUCAU
This 379-nucleotide long non-coding RNA is filed under the name Ananas comosus (pineapple). RNAcentral describes it as "long non-coding RNA (ACOM_LNC001063)". The record is from RNAcentral. Lineage: Eukaryota; Viridiplantae; Streptophyta; Magnoliopsida; Poales; Bromeliaceae.